GGGAUAACAUCGGGAAACCGGUGCUAAUACCGCAUAAUGCAGCGGUCACGCAUGUGGCAGUUGUUAAAGAAUUUCGGCAGAAGAUGGGCCUGCGUGUCAUUAGUUAGUUGGUAAGGUAACGGCUUACCAAGACGAUGAUGACUAGGGGGUCUGAGAGGAUGAUCCCCCACACUGGAACUGAGACACGGUCCAGACUCCUACGGGAGGCAGCAGUGAGGAAUCUUGCGCAAUGGGGGAAACCCUGACGCAGCCACGCCGCGUGCCAGAUGAAGGCCCUACGGGUCGUAAAUGGCUUUUGGUCGGGAAGAUAAGCCGGGUUUCGACCUGGUGUGACGGUACCGACUGAAUAAGCACCGGCUAACUCCGUGCCAGCAGCCGCGGUAAUACGGAGGGUGCAAGCGUUGUCCGGAAUCAUUGGGUGUAAAGGGUGCGUAGGCGGAUGCCUAAGUCUGGGGUGAAAUCUUGCAGCUUAACUGUAAAAUUGCCUUGGAUACUGGGUGUCUUGAGUACAGAAGAGGAUGGUGGAAUUCGUAGUGUAGCGGUGAAAUGCAUAGAUAUUACGAAGAACACCGGUGGCGAAAGCGGCCAUCUGGUCUGUUACUGACGCUGAGGCACGAAAGCGUGGGGAGCGAACAGGAUUAGAUACCCUGGUAGUCCACGCCGUAAACGAUGUGUGCUAGUUGUUGGCCUGUAUGGGCCAGUGACGUAGUUAACGCGCUAAGCACACCACCUGGGGAGUACGUUCGCAAGAAUGAAACUCAAAGGAAUUGACGGGGGCCCGCACAAGCGGUGGAGCAUGUGGCUUAAUUCGAUGCAACGCGAAGAACCUUACCUGGGCUAAAUCAUAGUGGAAAUAGCUAGAAAUAGCUAUGCCUUCGGG
RNAcentral lists this ribosomal RNA (880 nucleotides) under marine metagenome. RNAcentral's name for it is "bacterial SSU rRNA". It matches the Rfam family "Bacterial small subunit ribosomal RNA", at positions 140 to 1024 of the family's 1533-position model. The record is from RNAcentral.